This 419-nucleotide ribosomal RNA is filed under the name Arthrobacter sp. 126-3.2-LH-A-67. Its description in RNAcentral is "bacterial SSU rRNA". It matches the Rfam family "Bacterial small subunit ribosomal RNA", at positions 1 to 426 of the family's 1533-position model. Lineage: Bacteria; Bacillati; Actinomycetota; Actinomycetes; Micrococcales; Micrococcaceae. The record is from RNAcentral.
UGGAAUUUGAUCCUGGCUCAGGAUGAACGCUGGCGGCGUGCUUAACACAUGCAAGUCGAACGAUGAUGCCCACUUGUGGGUGGAUUAGUGGCGAACGGGUGAGUAACACGUGAGUAACCUGCCCUUGACUCUGGGAUAAGCCUGGGAAACUGGGUCUAAUACCGGAUAUGACUCCUCAUCGCAUGGUGGGGGGUGGAAAGCUUUAUUGUGGUUUUGGAUGGACUCGCGGCCUAUCAGCUUGUUGGUGAGGUAAUGGCUCACCAAGGCGACGACGGGUAGCCGGCCUGAGAGGGUGACCGGCCACACUGGGACUGAGACACGGCCCAGACUCCUACGGGAGGCAGCAGUGGGGAAUAUUGCACAAUGGGCGAAAGCCUGAUGCAGCGACGCCGCGUGAGGGAUGACGGCCUUCGGGUUGU